This is a long non-coding RNA of Maniola jurtina (meadow brown), 71 nucleotides long. RefSeq lists it as uncharacterized. NCBI's taxonomy places the organism in Eukaryota, Metazoa, Arthropoda, Insecta, Lepidoptera, Nymphalidae. The record is from RefSeq and is a predicted model, not a curated record. The transcript has 3 exons.
UCUCCUCACAGAAUGAGAAGGGUUUAGGCCAUAGUCCACCACGCCGAUCAAGUGCAGAUUGAUAGACUUCA